Molecule: ribosomal RNA, 479 nt
Filed under: uncultured bacterium
Lineage: Bacteria
Description: bacterial SSU rRNA
Rfam family: Bacterial small subunit ribosomal RNA
Source: RNAcentral
UAACACAUGCAAGUCGAGCGGCAGCANGAAAGUAGCUUGCUACUUUUGCCGUAGAGCGGCGGACGGGUGAGUAAUGCCUGGGAAAUUGCCCAGUCGAGGGGGAUAACAGUUGGAAACGACUGCUAAUACCGCAUACGCCCUACGGGGGAAAGCAGGGGACCUUCGGGCCUUGCGCGAUUGGAUAUGCCCAGGUGGGAUUAGCUAGUUGGUGAGGUAAUGGCUCACCAAGGCGACGAUCCCUAGCUGGUCUGAGAGGAUGAUCAGCCACACUGGAACUGAGACACGGUCCAGACUCCUACGGGAGGCAGCAGUGGGGAAUAUUGCACAAUGGGGGAAACCCUGAUGCAGCCAUGCCGCGUGUGUGAAGAAGGCCUUCGGGUUGUAAAGCACUUUCAGCGAGGAGGAAAGGUCAGUAGCUAAUAUCUGCUGGCUGUGACGUUACUCGCAGAAGAAGCACCGGCUAACUCCGUGCCAGCAGC